This 497-nucleotide ribosomal RNA is filed under the name uncultured bacterium. RNAcentral describes it as "partial 16S ribosomal RNA". It matches the Rfam family "Bacterial small subunit ribosomal RNA", at positions 28 to 507 of the family's 1533-position model. The record is from RNAcentral.
GGCGAACGCUGGCGGCGUGCCUAAUACAUGCCAGUAGAACGCUGAAGAGAGGAGCUUGCUCUUCUUGGAUGAGUUGCGAACGGGUGAGUAACGCGUAGGUAACCUGCCUUGUAGCGGGGGAUAACUAUUGGAAACGAUAGCUAAUACCGCAUAACAAUGGAUGACACAUGUCAUUUAUUUGAAAGGGGCAAUUGCUCCACUACAAGAUGGACCUGCGUUGUAUUAGCUAGUAGGUGAGGUAAUGGCUCACCUAGGCGACGAUACAUAGCCGACCUGAGAGGGUGAUCGGCCACACUGGGACUGAGACACGGCCCAGACUCCUACGGGAGGCAGCAGUAGGGAAUCUUCGGCAAUGGGGGCAACCCUGACCGAGCAACGCCGCGUGAGUGAAGAAGGUUUUCGGAUCGUAAAGCUCUGUUGUAAGUCAAGAACGGGUGUGAGAGUGGAAAGUUCACACUGUGACGGUAGCUUACCAGAAAGGGACGGCUAACUACGUG